CGGUGUUCAACUGGCGUGUCCGCGGGACGUCCUGCCGGUGGGCUUAGCCCGCAAGGGCGGCCCAACUUCAAAUCCCAUCGCGGUGCUCUUCACUGAGUGUCGAGGUGGGCCGGGCACGUUUACUUUGAACAAAUUAGAGUGCUUAAAGCAGGCUAAAACUUCGCCUGAAUACUGUGUGCAUGGAAUAAUGGAAUAGGACCUCGGUUCUAUUUUGUUGGUUUUCGGAACCCCGAGGUAAUGAUUAAUAGGAACGGAUGGGGGCAUUCGUAUUGCGACGUUAGAGGUGAAAUUCUUGGAUCGUCGCAAGACGGACAGAAGCGAAAGCAUUUGCCAAAAACGCUUUCAUUGAUCAAGAACGAAAGUUAGAGGUUCGAAGGCGAUCAGAUACCGCCCUAGUUCUAACCAUAAACGAUGCCAGCUAGCGAUCCGUCGACGUUCCUCCGAUGACUCGACGGGCAGCUUCCGGGAAACCAAAGCUUUUGGGUUCCGGGGGAAGUAUGGUUGCAAAGCUGAAACUUAAAGGAAUUGACGGAAGGGCACCACCAGGAGUGGAGCCUGCGGCUUAAUUUGACUCAACACGGGAAACCUCACCAGGCCCGGACACCGGAAGGAUUGACAGAUUGAGAGCUCUUUCUUGAUUCGGUGGGUGGUGGUGCAUGGCCGUUCUUAGUUGGUGGAGCGAUUUGUCUGGUUAAUUCCGAUAACGAACGAGACUCUAGCCUGCUAACUAGGCGUAUUUUCGACAUCUCAAAGGUCCGUCGUCCCGGCCCUCGGGUCGUGGGCGUGCGCGAUUUUUACUGUCGGCGUACUAUCAAUUCUUCUUAGAGGGACAGGUGGCUUCUAGCCGCACGAGAUUGAGCCAAUAACAGGUCUGUGAUG
RNAcentral lists this ribosomal RNA (879 nucleotides) under uncultured eukaryote. RNAcentral describes it as "SSU rRNA". It matches the Rfam family "Eukaryotic small subunit ribosomal RNA", at positions 636 to 1469 of the family's 1831-position model. The record is from RNAcentral.